CAGUAGCCGCGGUAAUACGAAGGGUGCAAGCGUUAAUCGGAAUUACUGGGCGUAAAGCGUGCGUAGGCGGUGAGUUAAGUCUGCUGUGAAAUCCCCGGGCUCAACCUGGGAAUGGCAGUGGAUACUGGCUCGCUAGAGUGUGUCAGAGGAUGGUGGAAUUCCCGGUGUAGCGGUGAAAUGCGUAGAGAUCGGGGGGAACCUCAGUGGCGAAGGCGGCCAUCUGGGACAACACUGACGCUGAGGCACGAAAGCGUGGGGAGCAAACAGGAUUAGAUACCCCUGUAGUCCCUGUCUCCUAUAC
Molecule: ribosomal RNA, 301 nt
Filed under: uncultured bacterium
Lineage: Bacteria
Description: partial 16S ribosomal RNA
Rfam family: Bacterial small subunit ribosomal RNA
Source: RNAcentral